CCUACGGGUGGCAGCAGUGAGGAAUAUUGGUCAAUGGGCGAGAGCCUGAACCAGCCAAGUCGCGUGAGGGAGUACUGCCCUAUGGGUUGUAAACCUCUUUUGUCGGGGAGCAAAAGCCGGACGUGUCCGGCUGUGAGAGUACCCGAAGAAAAAGCAUCGGCUAACUCCGUGCCAGCAGCCGCGGUAAUACGGAGGAUGCGAGGGUUAUCCGGAUUUAUUGGGGUUAAAGGGUUGGCAGGCGGGUUUUUAAGGCAGCGGUAAAAUCGUGGGGCUCAACCCCAUCCAGCCGUUGAAACUGGGGAUCCAGAGUGUGCGAGAGGUAUGCGGAAUGCGUGGUGUAGCGGUGAAAUGCAUAGAUAUCACGCAGAACCCCGAUGGCGAAGGCAGCAUACCGGUGCACAACUGACGCUCAGGCACGAAAGCGUGGGUAUCGAACAGGAUUAGAUACCCGGGUAGUC
This 458-nucleotide ribosomal RNA is filed under the name uncultured bacterium. RNAcentral's name for it is "partial 16S ribosomal RNA". It matches the Rfam family "Bacterial small subunit ribosomal RNA", at positions 338 to 795 of the family's 1533-position model. The record is from RNAcentral.